This 421-nucleotide ribosomal RNA is filed under the name uncultured Ohtaekwangia sp. Its description in RNAcentral is "bacterial SSU rRNA". It matches the Rfam family "Bacterial small subunit ribosomal RNA", at positions 355 to 774 of the family's 1533-position model. The record is from RNAcentral. Lineage: Bacteria; Pseudomonadati; Bacteroidota; Cytophagia; Cytophagales; Fulvivirgaceae.
UAGGGAAUAUUGGACAAUGGGCGGGAGCCUGAUCCAGCCAUGCCGCGUGCAGGAAGAAGGCCUUCUGGGUCGUAAACUGCUUUUGCCGGGGAUAAAAAGCCCCUGCGGGGGAAAUUGAAGGUACCCGGUGAAUAAGCCACGGCUAACUACGUGCCAGCAGCCGCGGUAAUACGUAGGUGGCAAGCGUUGUCCGGAUUUAUUGGGUUUAAAGGGUGCGUAGGCGGCCCCAGUAAGUCAGUGGUGAAAUACGGCAGCUCAACUGUCGAGGUGCCAUUGAUACUGCGGGGCUUGAGUAUGGACGAGGUGGGCGGAAUUGACGGUGUAGCGGUGAAAUGCUUAGAUAUCGUCAAGAACACCGAUAGCGGAGGCAGCCACUUAGGCCAUAACUGACGCUGAGGCACGAAAGUGCGGGGAUCAAACA